AGAGUUUGAUCCUGGCUCAGGACGAACGCUGGCGGCGUGCUUAACACAUGCAAGUCGAACGGGAUUUAGUAAACAGAAGCCUCGGUGGAAGAUUACUAAUGAGAGUGGCGAACGGGUGAGUAACGCGUGAGCAACCUGCCUAUGACAGUGGGAUAGCCUCGGGAAACCGGGAUUAAUACCGCAUAAAAUCGUAGAAACACAUGUUUUAACGGUCAAAGAUUUAUCGGUCAUAGAUGGGCUCGCGUCUGAUUAGCUAGUUGGUGAGAUAACAGCCCACCAAGGCGACGAUCAGUAGCCGGUCUGAGAGGAUGAACGGCCACAUUGGAACUGAGACACGGUCCAAACUCCUACGGGAGGCAGCAGUGGGGAAUAUUGCACAAUGGGGGAAACCCUGAUGCAGCGACGCCGCGUGAACGAAGAAGGUAUUCGUAUCGUAAAGUUCUGUCCUAUGGGAAGAUAAUGACAGUACCAUAGAAGAAAGCUCCGGCUAAAUACGUG
Molecule: ribosomal RNA, 498 nt
Filed under: uncultured Finegoldia sp.
Lineage: Bacteria; Bacillati; Bacillota; Tissierellia; Tissierellales; Peptoniphilaceae
Description: bacterial SSU rRNA
Rfam family: Bacterial small subunit ribosomal RNA
Source: RNAcentral